This 723-nucleotide ribosomal RNA is filed under the name Vibrio sp. 12B06. RNAcentral describes it as "bacterial SSU rRNA". It matches the Rfam family "Bacterial small subunit ribosomal RNA", at positions 33 to 735 of the family's 1533-position model. Lineage: Bacteria; Pseudomonadati; Pseudomonadota; Gammaproteobacteria; Vibrionales; Vibrionaceae. The record is from RNAcentral. RNAcentral also lists the same sequence under 1 other name.
ACGCUGGCGGCAGGCCUAACACAUGCAAGUCGAGCGGAAACGACACUAUCGAUCCUUCGGAUGCGUUAAUGGGCGUCGAGCGGCGGACGGGUGAGUAAUGCCUAGGAAAUUGCCUUGAUGUGGGGGAUAACCAUUGGAAACGAUGGCUAAUACCGCAUAAUGCCUACGGGCCAAAGAGGGGGACCUUCGGGCCUCUCGCGUCAAGAUAUGCCUAGGUGGGAUUAGCUAGUUGGUGAGGUAAUGGCUCACCAAGGCGACGAUCCCUAGCUGGUCUGAGAGGAUGAUCAGCCACACUGGAACUGAGACACGGUCCAGACUCCUACGGGAGGCAGCAGUGGGGAAUAUUGCACAAUGGGCGAAAGCCUGAUGCAGCCAUGCCGCGUGUAUGAAGAAGGCCUUCGGGUUGUAAAGUACUUUCAGUUGUGAGGAAGGGGGUAACGUUAAUAGCGUUAUCUCUUGACGUUAGCAACAGAAGAAGCACCGGCUAACUCCGUGCCAGCAGCCGCGGUAAUACGGAGGGUGCGAGCGUUAAUCGGAAUUACUGGGCGUAAAGCGCAUGCAGGUGGUUCAUUAAGUCAGAUGUGAAAGCCCGGGGCUCAACCUCGGAACUGCAUUUGAAACUGGUGAACUAGAGUGCUGUAGAGGGGGGUAGAAUUUCAGGUGUAGCGGUGAAAUGCGUAGAGAUCUGAAGGAAUACCAGUGGCGAAGGCGGCCCCCUGGACA